CAAGCUAGAGCUUGUUAAGCGUUUUAUUUACAUUAAAAAGUGUACUGUGUAAAUCAGUUAGUUUGA
This 66-nucleotide transfer RNA is filed under the name Lucanus mazama (cottonwood stag beetle). Its description in RNAcentral is "tRNA-Val". The record is from RNAcentral. Lineage: Eukaryota; Metazoa; Arthropoda; Insecta; Coleoptera; Lucanidae.